RNAcentral lists this ribosomal RNA (509 nucleotides) under uncultured Bacteroidales bacterium. Its description in RNAcentral is "bacterial SSU rRNA". It matches the Rfam family "Bacterial small subunit ribosomal RNA", at positions 219 to 725 of the family's 1533-position model. The record is from RNAcentral. Lineage: Bacteria; Pseudomonadati; Bacteroidota; Bacteroidia; Bacteroidales.
UUAUAGAUGGACAUGCGUUGUAUUAGCUAGUUGGUGAGGUAACGGCUCACCAAGGCAACGAUACAUAGGGGGACUGAGAGGUUAACCCCCCACACUGGUACUGAGACACGGACCAAACUCCUACGGGAGGCAGCAGUGAGGAAUAUUGGUCAAUGGGCGUAAGCCUGAACCAGCCAAGUCGCGUGAGGGAUGAAGGUUCUAUGGAUCGUAAACCUCUUUUAUAAGGGAAUAAAGUGUGGGACGUGUCCUAUUUUGUAUGUACCUUAUGAAUAAGGAUCGGCUAACUCCGUGCCAGCAGCCGCGGUAAUACGGAGGAUCCGAGCGUUAUCCGGAUUUAUUGGGUUUAAAGGGUGCGUAGGCGGCCUUUUAAGUCAGCGGUGAAAGUCUGUGGCUCAACCAUAGAAUUGCCGUUGAAACUGGGGGGCUUGAGUAUGUUUGAGGCAGGCGGAAUGCGUGGUGUAGCGGUGAAAUGCUUAGAUAUCACGCAGAACCCCGAUUGCGAAGGCAGC